UGCUUCCGGACAUCGACGGGUUCCUCCCGCGUCGGCGGGAGGAUGAAAAGGGAAGCCGGUGAGAAUCCGGCGCAGGGCCGCUGCUGUAUUCGGCGAGAGACCCGGCCACAUAGCCACUGCGACGCGUGCGUCGCGGGAAGGCCGCUCGGGGAUCGAUCGUAGCCGUAAGUCAGAAGACCUGCCCGUCGUGCGACGCCAAU
This 200-nucleotide non-coding RNA is filed under the name Paludisphaera borealis. Lineage: Bacteria; Pseudomonadati; Planctomycetota; Planctomycetia; Isosphaerales; Isosphaeraceae. The record is from RNAcentral.